ACGGGUGAGUAACGCGUAAGUAACCUGCCUCUUAGCGGGGGAUAACUAUUGGAAACGAUAGCUAAUACCGCAUAAAAGUCGACAUUGCAUGAUGUUGACUUGAAAGGUGCAAAUGCCUCACUAAUAGAUGGACCUGCGUUGUAUUAACUAGUUGGUGAGGUAACGGCCCACCAAGGCAAUGAUCACUAACCGGACUGAAAGGAUGAACGGCCACAUUGGGACUGAAACACGGCCCAAACUCCUACGGGAGGCAGCAGUAGGGAAUCUUCCGCAAUGGGCGAAAGCCUGACGGAGCAACGCCGCGUGAGUGGAGAAGGAUUUCGGUUCGUAAAGCUCUGUUGUAAGAGAAGAACGAGUGUGAGAGUGGAAAGUUCACACUGUGACGGUAUCUUACCAAAAAGGGACGGCUAACUACGUGCCACCACCCGCGGUAAUACGUAGGUGGCAAGCGUUGUCCGGAAUUAGUGGGCGUAAAGCGCGCGCAGGCGGAUUGAUCUCUCAGUCUUAAAAGUUCGGGGCUUAACCCCAUGAUGGUAUGGAAACUGCCAAUCUAGAGUAUCGAGAAAGGAAAGUGGAACUCCCAGUGUCGCGGUGAUAUGCGUAGAUAUUAAGAAAAACACGUGUGGAGAAAGCCUCUUUCUCUACCAUAACUGACUGCUGAGACGCAAAGCCAGAGCAGAGAAAGAUGAUUAAUCUGCCGGUCGUCCCUGGUCCGCAAAC
RNAcentral lists this ribosomal RNA (720 nucleotides) under uncultured bacterium. Its description in RNAcentral is "bacterial SSU rRNA". It matches the Rfam family "Bacterial small subunit ribosomal RNA", at positions 102 to 807 of the family's 1533-position model. The record is from RNAcentral.